Molecule: long non-coding RNA, 3080 nt
Organism: Monodelphis domestica (gray short-tailed opossum)
Lineage: Eukaryota; Metazoa; Chordata; Mammalia; Didelphimorphia; Didelphidae
Source: RefSeq, a predicted model, not a curated record
AUAAAUCUCUUAAAAUAUAACAUUAUUAUUGAGAUUUAAUUUUAACUUUUACAUUGAUUGCAACCACUAGUCAGAGAAGAACCUCUCAAAAUUUUAAGAUAGUCUAGAUAAAUUUUUUAAGCCACAUUUCUCCUACCAAGUUUGAAAGAUUUGCUAAAUCUGUAAAAAUUGUGACAAAUAUCCAUCAGUUCAUAGUUGUUUUUUUUUUGUCAUACAGCAAGUUAUAUGAAAUAUGAUAGUGGGUUUGUUUGUUAUUGUAAUUAAAUGGGCUAUUAUAACUCUAGGGAUAUUGAUACUUUUUGAAUGUGCAUUAUAUGCUGUACUACUGUUCUUUAUAAAAAACUGUUACUUUGUAAAAAUCAUUUGCUUGUACUCACAGUGGAUCAUGGCCAGGUUUGAAGAGGAAAUGGAUCUCAUUUUUGGUGAGAAACUUUUGUAUUCUACAUUUCUUUAGCUGACACAGUGUGUCAAUGAUUAUAAGCGACAUUUUUGAUUUUUUUAAAACUCUCAUUAUUAUUUUUCUUGCAGUGCAAUAUACUAUUUUAAUUUUUUUAUUUUUCUCACCUUUUUGUAUUUGAAGAACAUUUCACCAGUAUUGAGAAGACUUUCUUUAACUUUUUUGAUUUUGCAGUAAUAUAAGUUUGAAAUAUAUUUGCUAUAAUGUCAAUGCAUACCCCAAAAGCUUUAGACUAUAAAAAUUAUGCCAUUGAUUAUUUAAAAUGGGACUUUGCUUAAUGAUUCUGUCUGAUUCCAGGACAAGAGAAUACAAAAAGAGUCACUGAACAGUGCCAAAAAAGCACAAAGCUAAACUGCAUAGUGCCAAUCAAGCACAAGGUCAAAGAGACCAACCAAUCUCGAUGGGAUUGAUGAAAAUUUUGAGCCAAGACAAGAGGACUUGAACUUGUUUGGGGUUCAAGUUUGCAACUGUUUAACAUGUGUUAAAGGCAGGUCUUCCUUGUCCCACAUUCUACCAAGUAUCUCAAGUUUGGCUCCUACCUGGCUCCUAUAAUCUAGUCCCUUUUCUGUCUUUCAUUGUGUGGCAAACUUUUUAUAGUCCUGGCUACUGACUGGGUAAAUGCAUAAUUGCUUAAAUCAUUUUAUUUGGGCCCUGAUUCAAGGACCUGUUAUGGAUUUAUUUUUCCUUUACUUAGAAUUUUUACACAUAAGACUUUGAUAGUCUAUAUUUCAUCCAGAACUUAUUUUUUUAUUAGGAUUAAAAUUUUUUUUUAUUUCUCUUGCCAAUUGAUUCAUAUACUUCAUAACUCAGCCAUGCAUCCCUAAGUGAUCCGUGUGUUUUUCAACACCCUCUUCAGGGGGAAUGUAUUAUUAUUAUUUUUAAUUGCAAGUUUUAAAUUCUUUUUGAGAGUAAUUUUAGGUUAAGAAACAUGAUACCUCUCCAAAUCCAGAAAAUGAACUCUUCUUAGAAGGCACCAUGAAGGUACCUCCACAUACCACAAGCUACAUCAAGAAGAUCCAGAAUGAAUUUUGGGUGUGGUUGAUUAAACUGAAGGUUGAUUGAACAUUUAAUUUGAAUGUAUACUCAUGCCCAAAGGGGACUGCUCCCUAAUUGGCUUUUUGUCAAUGUACCUAGCAAUUAUUGGUUUUGUUCUCUUUUCCUUUUAUCCUCAAAUUAUUACAAUUUCAAAGUUUGUAUGUUUACAAGACCCACUGGAGAGACUAGUCUUCCAUGGGUCUCAGGGGGGAAUGUAUGAUUGAAAAUCUUUUACCCUAAUAAAAGAACUACAUAUCCCAAGAGCCCACUGACUUCCUGUCAUUAUGUACUUUCUGUAGACAGAGGAUAAAGGACCUGGGCUUUGGCAGUUCCUCCUCUCUGAUGUAGAAUCAGCAGUGAUGGUGGAGAAUGGCUUUCAUAUUGGAAAUGAUGGAAUGAAAAUGACUAAUAAGAAGUUGAUACCACCUAGCUGCCUUGGAUGAAACCAAAGCAAUUGGGUUCAGAUGAAUUACAAACUUGGGUCCUUAAAGAACUGGAAGAUGUGAUUGCCCGGUGCUCUUUCCACUGUAUCACCAUGAGAUGUCUUUUGAACCCUUCAUGAGCAUCCCAGAAGCAUCAGUGUCACAGGCUGAGGACAAACUGGAAGUGUUGGAGAAAGAUGGAUUUCAAGUUCUAUGAGAAGUACAGCUGAAAAGCUGUACCACACUUAAGGAGAAGAUUUCCAGAUCUUCCAAGAUACCCCUUUUGCCACAUGCACUCCAAACUUGAGCCCAUUUUCCUUGGACUCCAUAUAAACUGGAGGAAAGUCCCCAUAGGCUUUGGGGGGAGGGGUAUUUUAUACUGACUGACUUAAAUAGCCAUUUCUAAAACCCAUUUAAGUAUGACAGCUUAUUUGAUAACAACCAAUAAUGACAGGAGGCAGUUCAUUGGUAUAGACAUAAGAAUUCUACCACUAGAAAGCCUCUAAGAGUUCUCCCUAGAGCCCUGACUGUGCUCCUAACCUUGCUGGGGACUCAGGAUAUCAAUGCCAGUUACUACAAAUGUAUUGAUGCUAUUUAAAUAAAUAAGAAGAGAAAAGAAGUCUUGCAAUUUUUCCAUAUGCUUGUUCUUUAAAAAAAACCAUGAACCACUAUAUCCUUAAUAUUAAUGCCCAAAUGUGUAACAGUUUAGAGACUAUUGGCAGAAGAUGGAGUUUCUAAGUGUGGCUCUUUAUGAUCAUUUCAGCAACAUCCAUAAUUGUGGUCAGCCUAGGCAGACAACAGAAUGAAGUUAAGGAUUUAAUUGAGAUGGGGGAUUUAAUUAGGCUUCCUGGCCCAUAGCAAUUUAUUGUAUAGUUCCAAGUCUUUAACCCUACCCUUCCCCAUGUCCACCAAAGAAGGACAUUUGGUUGUGAUGAAGCCAUAAACUGUCCACAGUCUUAUAUUUUAAUGCUACUUCAGCUGCUGGGGGCAGCAAGAUAAAAGGGUUUUUUUAUGCAAGAUGACAGUAUUCUACUAUACUUCUUUUAUGAACAAGUACCAAGUUAAGCCACAGGGAAAUGUUUUCUUUUUAUGGUAUUUUGCAAUUUGUCCAGGACAAAAGAAACAUAAUAGCUUCAACUGAAUUUAACUUUCCUUCUCCCAAAAUA